UACGUAGGUGGCGAGCGUUGUCCGGAUUUACUGGGCGUAAAGGGAGCGUAGGCGGAUUUUUAAGUGAGAUGUGAAAUACCCGGGCUCAACUUGGGUGCUGCAUUUCAAACUGGAAGUCUAGAGUGCAGGAGAGGAGAGUGGAAUUCCUAGUGUAGCGGUGAAAUGCGUAGAGAUUAGGAAGAACACCAGUGGCGAAGGCGACUCUCUGGACUGUAACUGACGCUGAGGCUCGAAAGCGUGGGGAGCAAACAGGG
RNAcentral lists this ribosomal RNA (254 nucleotides) under uncultured bacterium. Its description in RNAcentral is "partial 16S ribosomal RNA". It matches the Rfam family "Bacterial small subunit ribosomal RNA", at positions 524 to 777 of the family's 1533-position model. The record is from RNAcentral.